AGGGUUUGAUCCUGGCUCAGGAUGAACGCUGGCGGCGUGCUUAACACAUGCAAGUCGAGCGAAGCACUUACUUUUGAUUUCUUCGGAAUGACGAGGUCUGUGACUUAGCGGCGGACGGGUGAGUAACGCGUGGGCAACCUGCCUCACACAGGGGGAUAACAGUUAGAAAUGACUGCUAAUACCGCAUAAGACCCCGGCACCGCAUGGUGCAGGGGUAAAAACUCCGGUGGUGUGAGAUGGGCCCGCGUCUGAUUAGGUAGUUGGUGCGGUAACGGCGCACCAAGCCGACGAUCAGUAGCCGACCUGAGAGGGCGACCGGCCACAUUGGGACUGAGACACGGCCCAA
Molecule: ribosomal RNA, 346 nt
Filed under: uncultured bacterium
Lineage: Bacteria
Description: bacterial SSU rRNA
Rfam family: Bacterial small subunit ribosomal RNA
Source: RNAcentral